AUUGCCCUACUGUGUUCGCGUUGUGACAGAUGUGUUUUGGGCCAACACCUACUUACAGGGUUCCUAAAUUGCGGAAGUUACGCGAUAGGCCUGAGCCAAGGCGGAGCUUGCGUUGCGGAAACCCACUCUGCGAAAGCAGGUUCAAGACUAAGUCACACACGGCAUGGUGGGGCUUUC
This 177-nucleotide non-coding RNA is filed under the name Anaerolineales bacterium. RNAcentral describes it as "6S RNA". It matches the Rfam family "6S / SsrS RNA". From Rfam's summary of the family: E. coli 6S RNA was the first non coding RNA to be sequenced, but its function was unknown until recently. It consists of 184 nucleotides that fold into an extended hairpin structure with a large single-stranded internal bulge. The record is from RNAcentral. Lineage: Bacteria; Bacillati; Chloroflexota; Anaerolineae; Anaerolineales.